GAUGAACGCUGGCGGCGUGCUUAACACAUGCAAGUCGAACGGAGUUGAUUUAAGGAAGCAAGCUUGCUUGAAGAAUUGAAUUAACUUAGUGGCGGACGGGCGAGUAACACGUGAGCAACCUACCUCUUACAGGGGAAUAACAACGGGAAACCGUUGCUAAUACCGCAUGAUAUGUGCUGAAGGCAUCUUUGGCACAUCAAAAGAGCAAUCUGGUGGGAGAUGGGCUCGCGUCUGAUUAGCUAGUUGGUAAGGUAACGGCCUACCAAGGCGACGAUCAGUAGCCGGACUGAGAGGUCGAACGGCCGCAUUGGGACUGAGACACGGCCCAGACUCCUACGGGAGGCAGCAGUGGGGAAUAUUGGGCAAUGGGCGAAAGCCUGACCCAGCAACGCCGCGUGAAUGAUGAAGGCCUUCGGGUUGUAAAAUUCUUUGGACAGGGACGAAGAAAGUGA
This 452-nucleotide ribosomal RNA is filed under the name Firmicutes bacterium oral taxon G23. Its description in RNAcentral is "bacterial SSU rRNA". It matches the Rfam family "Bacterial small subunit ribosomal RNA", at positions 28 to 457 of the family's 1533-position model. Lineage: Bacteria; Bacillati; Bacillota. The record is from RNAcentral.